Molecule: RNA transcript, 2407 nt
Organism: Labeo rohita (rohu)
Lineage: Eukaryota; Metazoa; Chordata; Actinopteri; Cypriniformes; Cyprinidae
Gene: il6r
Gene name: interleukin 6 receptor
Exons: 11
Source: RefSeq, a predicted model, not a curated record
AUAGUCUAAUGUGCGGGCAGGAGAGGAAGGGGCUGCAGUCUUCUGGCGCUCUCACAAACAAACGAGCUCCGGAUCGAAAUCCAGUCGCAACUGAAAAUAGCCUAUAUUUUGUCAAACGAGUAGUCAACGCUUUGUCCUAGAUCUGCACCAUGAUUCAAAUAAUUAUGUAACAGUUUUUUUUAAUUAUCAUUUUCUUUUUUUUUUUUUUUUUUUUUUUUUUAUUAGGCUGUCUGAAAUGUUUAUGUGAGGAAAAUUACAUUUUCAUCUCGUUAAACUUGUUUAACGCGUUGACAGUAUGACCCGUUAUAUUCAUAUUGUAUAUUUGGGUGGCUGAAUAUUUUUUUGGAAGUGAAAUGUCAUUUAUAAUGUGGACCCGAUCUACACUCAAGUUUCUUUUCGUUGUAUUAGCUGCGAUUGAAGUUCAGUCUGCCCCUGAAGAUUGUCCUCGACAAGAGUCCCUUCCUGGAGUUUUGAUCUUGAAGUUAGGAAGCAAUGUUGUGUUUGGCUGCAGAGGCGAUAUCACUGUGGACGGUGUGUCGUUGGCUUCGGCCGGUGUCGUGAAUAAAAAAUACAGAAACAAGCGGACAGAAGACAUCACUGUCAGGUGGACGUCCCAAAGAGGUUAUGCUAAUGCUACACAGCUAACCAGAAUGAAGAGAAAUGCUACAACUGGGACAUACCAAAAGACUGAAGCUAAAGGGGACACAACAACUACCAUUAAACCACCUGUAACUAUAAAAAAGGAACAAACCACUUCUACACGUGUUUUGCGUGCUGUCACUCAAACUACUGGACAGGACGAAAAGGUCUUCCGUAUCACCACAGAUUUUGAGCAAGAUGAUUAUGAGGACUAUGAUUAUGAAGAGGAACAUUCCAGGGUGACAAGAGGCAUUAAAAGGCGAACACGCUGGACUCUCAAUGGACGACAAGUGCAUGCUGGAGUGGAAAGAGGAGGGAUUUUAAGACGGCCACAUCUCAACUGGACAGAUUCUGGGAAUUACAGCUGCUACCGAGGAGAGAGACUAAUUUCCACAUUCAGAAUCAGUGUAGCGAUGCCCCCAGAAAGACCCACUGUCUACUGCUACAGGAGGUUUCACACAAGUAAAGUCCGCUGUGAUUGGACAUCCAAAAAUCCAGUAACCCCACGGACACUGUGUUACCUACUUCUUCAAAAAGGACUGUCUGGCAACGUCACUCGUGUGCCUUGUUCAUUCUCAUUCUCACGCUCCCGUUGUUGGUGUGCUUUUCACGUGGAGGAGGGUGACAGGAAUCUCCAUGCAGCAAAACUGUGUGUGUCUAACAUAGCAGGGUCUACCACAAGCCCUUACCUCAGCUUCAAGCUACACGACAUCAUUAAGCCAGACCCUCCGACCCAUGUGGUGGUGAGAGCAGUUCCAGGCCAACAGCACAUACUCAAAGUAUCCUGGUCUUAUCCCAAUACCUGGAAGAAUGACUUCUAUGCCCUGCUUUUUGAGCUGAGAUACCGACCGCAACUCAAAGAGCAGUACCAGACAGUGCCGAUAGAUGACGUGAUGGAGAAACAAGUGUCCUGGACGAUUUAUGAUGCUAUGCCACACACUCAGUAUGAAGUGCAGCUUCGGGCCAAAGAUGAGUUUGACGGCAUCUGGAGUGACUGGACUGAUACUGUCUAUGCAGUCACUUGGGAAGCUCCUAAGACAACUACUACCACUGAGAGCAUUACUUUGGAGACUCUUGAGAUGUUUCCUGAAGGUUCAGGAGGAUCUGGAGAAGACUCUAGUGUAGGUUCAGUGGCAACAGAUGGAGCUAAUGAUAUUGACUAUGCUACAGUGUGGCUGUGGGUGUCAUGUUUUUUUGGGCUGCUUUUUCUUGCAGUCCUCACCAUGUUCACAGUCUAUUUAAUCAGGGGUAGGCUGCAUUUCGUGUCUAGAAUAGGAAAACAGACAUUGCCCUUUGCAUUCUUCCUUCAUUCCCCUCGACCUCUUCCUGCUCCUGCUCCCUCUGAGCUGCUUCCAGAGGAGGGAAAGUCACUGAUGUCUCCUCCCAAACACAACCAGCAACACUUCCUUCCUGUUCAGCAAGAGGAGCAGGAGGGCAUUCAUCUGCAUAACAUGGAUUAUUUCCUGUCUCCAGGGACUGAGGGUGUGCCAUGGGCCAUAGACAGACAUGAGUGAACAUGAAACCUCAUUGUAGUGGAUACACUGCGAUUGGCUACAAUUCGCAUACUGUUUUUAGGAAUGUUACAAUAAUCUCAAGAUAAUAUCUCAUCAACAUGAAAAAUGAUUGACCAUUAACCAGAAGAAAGAUCGUUUCAUCAUUGUGCCUAACAGUAACCACAUGGCAAUCUACUUCAGUGAGACAGUCUCUGUUACCAGUGUUCUGGAUACAAAUGUAAAAAAGCUAUAGAAUAAUAAAUAAUGUACAGUGA